RNAcentral lists this ribosomal RNA (305 nucleotides) under uncultured bacterium. Its description in RNAcentral is "partial 16S ribosomal RNA". It matches the Rfam family "Bacterial small subunit ribosomal RNA", at positions 335 to 656 of the family's 1533-position model. The record is from RNAcentral.
GCUCCUACGGGGCGCAGCAGUGGGGGAUAUUGCACAAUGGGGGGAACCCUGAUGCAGCGACGCCGCGUGGGUGAAGGAGCGUUUCGGCGCGUAAAGCCCUAUCGGCAGGGAAGAAGGAGGACGGUACCUGACUAAGAAGCCCCGGCUAACUACGUGCCAGCAGCCGCGGUAAUACGUAGGGGGCAAGCGUUAUCCGGAUUUACUGGGUGUAAAGGGGGCGCAGACGGCAGCGCAAGCCAGGAGUGAAAGCCCGGGGCCCAACCCCGGGACUGCUCUUGGACAUGCGCGGCUGGAGCGGAGGGGGG